Molecule: long non-coding RNA, 1430 nt
Organism: Sesamum indicum (sesame)
Lineage: Eukaryota; Viridiplantae; Streptophyta; Magnoliopsida; Lamiales; Pedaliaceae
Source: RefSeq, a predicted model, not a curated record
ACAGAAACAGCGCCUUCGAAAUCCUUCACACUCCCCAUCUGUGAAACCUUCACUCACACAAACCACCUUGCAGUUGUGCUCAAUAAUGCAGGGUCCCCUGAAUGUGAAACUCUCUGAUUCGCAUGUCCUACCCAUCGCCUCCUCUGCAUUUUUGUAGACACACAUCAAUCUUUUAUAUACAUACAUACAGAUUUAGAGAGAGAGAGAGAGAGAGAGAGAGAGAGAGAAUUACCAGAGGCCAAAGCGAACACCAAAACCAGGACAAGGCCAAUAACGUGUUUAGCAUUCAUCCUUAACCUGCAUCAUAAUCCUCCACUGUAUUUGGGUAUUUAUACUAAUCCGAUAUGGAUCAACGCGGACAACUGGAUAUGUUUGAAUUAAAUGCUGCUGCUCCAUUUCUGAAAGCAGGUCGUGGGAAGAAUAGACCGAGAGGGCCUAAUCCUUUCACAUCUAAUCCACUGUAUCAAUAUUCUUGGCAGAAGUGAUAACGGGCCGUCUUGUUACCGUAUUUGAUCUCGUCGUUCUUGUACCCAAAUUAGCAGAUAGCUGUGCUAUAGAUACAAGAUAAGCUUGUCAUGAAAUCAAGGUGACAUUUUUCAAUUGAGUUCGUAACGGGCACAGAACCAACAUAUAUAUUUGCAUUGUGAGUACCAUGUAUCGUGGUGAAAGCUGAAACCCUGUUCCACUGCUCCGGUCUCUCUUCCUUUUUUUUUCCCCCUCUUUUUUUUAGGAUUAAAUUCAAUAAUAUUAAGAGUAGAUUAAAGGCGUGCAGCAGAUUUCCCAAAGGUAAGAUUGUUGUUCAAAAUACAAUCAAGAUUAGUAGAGGCCGUCCUAAUUGGAAUGAAAAGCCCCCUUUGCCAAUGCAAGUUUUGGAGUUUGCUUGCUAAUGCUGGCCGAUGUGUUUAAAUUUUCACCAUGGUCAUUUACAAAUAAGUUGUAUGAUCAUCCCCACGGUUGGUUGGUUUACAUGCUCCAGUUCUCUAAUUCUCAUGUCUGAUGAAACUGUGACAAAAGCAAACAAUUUAUACUGUUGCGUUAACCUUAGCUCUACUGCCACCGUCCAAAUUCUUUCUAGACGAAUCAAUCACAAUUAGUUGCAAAAAUUUUCUUGGUAUUUGAAAGAUAAACGACGUUGCAGGAGGAGAAUGCACUUGCCAAGCAUACAAUUUGUAGCUAUAAAGAUCAAUUUCCAUGCUGCAUAGGCUUAAAAACAGCAGAGAGACAACCAUACAUGUAUCUUCUACAUUAUUCUGACGCCCUUCACAUGACUACUCACUAUAAUGAUAAAAAGGCCAUUCACACUUCAAGCACUGAACGAGAGCUAAAACUUCUGAAACCACAUCAUCUUCCAAACUCAUGGCUUGCAAAAGAACUUCAUCAACACGGGCUAUAAUUCUACUUAGUGGCUGCCACCAAAGCCAUAUGCUCUA